ACUCAUACCCUGCAGGGAAAAUGCCAUGUCAUAAGAGUGGUUUUUCCAGGGGGAGGCUCAUCCAUUGCACUUUGGGUGUGCUGCUGAUUCCUCUGAUUUCCCCAAAGGUGGGAAACUCAACUGCAUAAUUUGUAUUAAUGGAAGAUUAUAUUUGUGAUUUUCCU
Molecule: small nuclear RNA, 164 nt
Organism: Pogona vitticeps (central bearded dragon)
Lineage: Eukaryota; Metazoa; Chordata; Lepidosauria; Squamata; Agamidae
Gene: U1
Rfam family: U1 spliceosomal RNA
About the family: U1 is a small nuclear RNA (snRNA) component of the spliceosome (involved in pre-mRNA splicing).
Source: Ensembl